RNAcentral lists this ribosomal RNA (350 nucleotides) under Trachylepis capensis (Cape three-lined skink). RNAcentral's name for it is "partial 12S ribosomal RNA". The record is from RNAcentral. Lineage: Eukaryota; Metazoa; Chordata; Lepidosauria; Squamata; Scincidae.
CCUAAACUUGCCAUUGUUUUUAUCAAAUUUACACAUGCAAGCUUCAACAACCCAGUGAGAUUGCCCAAAACCCCUAAACAGCCAUAAGGAGCGGGCAUCAGGAUUCAGAGACAUCUAGCCUAAGACGCCUUGCUAUGCCACCCCCACACGGGUAUACAGCAGUGAAUAACAUUAAGAUAUGAGCGAAAGCUCGACUUAGUUAUGAUAAAUGUGGCCGGUAAAUUUCGUGCCAGCCACCGCGGUUAUACGAGAGGCCAAAAACAAUGACCCGCGGCGUAAAGCGUGACAAAAGUCUGUCAAAUUUUUAAGGGGGAAUUAUAUCAAAGUCGUAAAACACCUUGACUAUAAGA